AUAAACGAUUUUUCUUGUUGCAGGGGAUUGCAGUGGCAAAGCUAGGCUAGGUCUUGGAGGCUGGUGUAAGGCGAUGUGGGUGAAGGCAGGAGGCUGAUGGAAAGACUGGGGGGAAGAAAAGCCGAAAUGGAUUCACGGUGCCUUGGAUGAAGGACGAGAGGGGAACUGCAAGCUCCUUCAACUGGUUCUGUCCGGUGAGAAGUGAUCAAGCUUGGGCUGACAAGAGGCUCAGGGAGCCCUCACGUUCUUUCGCUUUUUUACCUGCCAAUCAAACUGCUACAAGACAACACCCUGAUCUGGCAUGGACAUUCUCAAUACCUUCACAGAGGUGAAGAAGCAGCAACCAAAUGAAUUAGACAGCAACAUGAUUCCUAGAGAAUGGCAAGACCAAUUCUUCAACUACUUCUUCAGCAUUUCUGAAACAUAUGGAAGAUGGCCCAUUGUGCUCUCUUAAUUCUUUGAUAAUCUGGACAUUGACUUUUCCAUUAUAUGACCUGGGCUUGUGGGCAUCAUGUCAUAAUGCACCUGUUCAGACAUCUCCCUGUACCAAUAUGGAUCACUUGAAGAGACUCCUUUGCCCCCAUCAAAAAGGAUACAGUUGUGUAUCUCUUCCAUUUUUGUUUACAGUGCCUAAAAUUAUUUGAGCAGUUUUUCACCUCUUCUCUGAUAAACACCUUAUUAGUCCUUAAAAAGAAAAGAAAAAAGGAAAAUAAAACUUUUAUUGAGAUCCUAA
This 733-nucleotide long non-coding RNA is filed under the name Homo sapiens (human). RNAcentral describes it as "HSALNT0316533". The stretch from base 34 to 309 matches the Rfam family "SOX2 overlapping transcript exon 3". Lineage: Eukaryota; Metazoa; Chordata; Mammalia; Primates; Hominidae. The record is from RNAcentral.